CGGGACGGGUGAGUAAUGUCUGGGAAACUGCCUGAUGGAGGGGGAUAACUACUGGAAACGGUAGCUAAUACCGCAUAACGUCGCAAGACCAAAGGAGGGGGACCGUUCGGGCCUCUUGCCGUCGGAUGUGCCCAGAUGGGAUUAGCUAGUAGGUGGGGUAACGGCUCACCUAGGCGACGAUCCCUAGCUGGUCUGAGAGGAUGACCAGCCACACUGGAACUGAGACACGGUCCAG
RNAcentral lists this ribosomal RNA (235 nucleotides) under uncultured bacterium. Its description in RNAcentral is "partial 16S ribosomal RNA". It matches the Rfam family "Bacterial small subunit ribosomal RNA", at positions 100 to 334 of the family's 1533-position model. The record is from RNAcentral.